Molecule: ribosomal RNA, 497 nt
Filed under: uncultured bacterium
Lineage: Bacteria
Description: partial 16S ribosomal RNA
Rfam family: Bacterial small subunit ribosomal RNA
Source: RNAcentral
GAUGAACGCUGGCGGCGUGCCUAAUACAUGCAAGUCGAGCGAACAGACGAGGAGCUUGCUCCUCUGACGUUAGCGGCGGACGGGUGAGUAACACGUGGAUAACCUACCUAUAAGACUGGGAUAACUUCGGGAAACCGGAGCUAAUACCGGAUAAUAUAUUGAACCGCAUGGUUCAAUAGUGAAAGACGGUUUUGCUGUCACUUAUAGAUGGAUCCGCGCCGCAUUAGCUAGUAGGUAAGGUAACGGCUUACCAAGGCAACGAUGCGUAGCCGACCUGAGAGGGUGAUCGGCCACACUGGAACUGAGACACGGUCCAGACUCCUACGGGAGGCAGCAGUAGGGAAUCUUCCGCAAUGGGCGAAAGCCUGACGGAGCAACGCCGCGUGAGUGAUGAAGGUCUUCGGAUCGUAAAACUCUGUUAUUAGGGAAGAACAAAUGUGUAAGUAACUAUGCACGUCUUGACGGUACCUAAUCAGAAAGCCACGGCUAACUACGUG